UACGUAGGGAGCGAGCGUUAUCCGGAUUUAUUGGGUGUAAAGGGUGCGUAGGCGGCAUUUUAGGUCUGUGGUUCAAGCCCGAAGCUUAACUUCGGAUCGCCAUAGAAACCGAAAAGCUUGAGUAUGGUAGAGGCAAGUGGAAUUUCUAGUGUAGCGGUUAAAUGCGUAGAUAUUAGAAGGAACACCAGUGGCGAAGGCGACUUGCUGGGCCAUUACUGACGCUGAGGCACGAAAGCGUGGGGAGCAAA
Molecule: ribosomal RNA, 248 nt
Filed under: uncultured Muribaculaceae bacterium
Lineage: Bacteria; Pseudomonadati; Bacteroidota; Bacteroidia; Bacteroidales; Muribaculaceae
Description: partial 16S ribosomal RNA
Rfam family: Bacterial small subunit ribosomal RNA
Source: RNAcentral